UGGGGAAUAUUGCGCAAUGGGCGAAAGCCUGACGCAGCGACGCCGCGUGAGGGAUGAAGGUCUUCGGAUCGUAAACCUCUGUCAGAAGGGAAGAAACUAGGGUGCUCUAAUCAUCAUCCUACUGACGGUACCUUCAAAGGAAGCACCGGCUAACUCCGUGCCAGCAGCCGCGGUAAUACGGAGGGUGCAAGCGUUAAUCGGAAUCACUGGGCGUAAAGCGCACGUAGGCUGUUAUGUAAGUCAGGGGUGAAAGCCCACGGCUCAACCGUGGAACUGCCCUUGAUACUGCACGACUCGAAUCCGGGAGAGGGUGGCGGAAUUCCAGGUGUAGGAGUGAAAUCCGUAGAUAUCUGGAGGAACAUCAGUGGCGAAGGCGGCCACCUGGACCGGUAUUGACGCUGAGGUGCGAAAGCGUGGGGAGCAAACAG
This 428-nucleotide ribosomal RNA is filed under the name uncultured bacterium. Its description in RNAcentral is "bacterial SSU rRNA". It matches the Rfam family "Bacterial small subunit ribosomal RNA", at positions 355 to 775 of the family's 1533-position model. The record is from RNAcentral.